UACGUAGGGGUCUAGCGUUGUCCGGAAUCAUUGGGCGUAAAGAGCUCGUAGGCGGUUCGGCAAGUCGGAUGUGAAAUCUCCACGCUCAACGUGGAGGGGCCAUUCGAAACUGCCGUGACUCGAGUCCGGUAGGGGAGUGCGGAAUUCCCGGUGUAGCGGUGAAAUGCGUAGAUAUCUGGAGGAACACCGGUGGCGAAGGCGGCAUCCUGGACCAUUACUGACGCUGAUGAGCGAAAGCCAGGGGAGCAAACGGG
This 254-nucleotide ribosomal RNA is filed under the name uncultured bacterium. RNAcentral's name for it is "partial 16S ribosomal RNA". It matches the Rfam family "Bacterial small subunit ribosomal RNA", at positions 524 to 776 of the family's 1533-position model. The record is from RNAcentral.